GCGAGAUAAUGCAGGAUCUUUACAUCCUUGUUAUCCUGCUAAUGGAGAUUAUGUAGUUACUCAAGAGAGUGGAACAAAAUUGUUUCUUGGUGGUGGUGCAAAGGGUGAUAGCCGAAAAGAUGCUUCAACAUCCAAUUCGUGUUUGAGAAGCUCAAUUGGGUUGGCUGACCUAAAUGAACCAGCGCAGCUUGAUGAUGCAACCGAUCCUGUUGAAUUUCUUGG
This 222-nucleotide unclassified non-coding RNA is filed under the name Hevea brasiliensis (rubber tree). Lineage: Eukaryota; Viridiplantae; Streptophyta; Magnoliopsida; Malpighiales; Euphorbiaceae. The record is from RNAcentral.